RNAcentral lists this ribosomal RNA (467 nucleotides) under uncultured bacterium. RNAcentral describes it as "partial 16S ribosomal RNA". It matches the Rfam family "Bacterial small subunit ribosomal RNA", at positions 28 to 507 of the family's 1533-position model. The record is from RNAcentral.
GACGAACGCUGGCGGCAGGCUAAACAAAUGAAAGUGAACCGGAAGGCCCCGGCUUUGCCGGGUGCUCGGGGGGGGAAAGGGGGGGGAAACCGGGGAGUACCCGCCCUUGGACUUGGGGAAACCUUCGGAAAACGGGGGAUAUACCGGACAGGGGCUCCUGGCGCAUGGGGGGGGUUGGGAAGUUUCGGCGGUUGGGGAUGGACUCGCGGCUUAUCAGCUUGGUGGGGGGGUAGUGGCUUACCAAGGCUUUGACGGGUAGCCGGCCUGGGAGGGUGACCGGCCACAUUGGGACUGCGAUACGGCCCAGACUCCUACGGGAGGCAGAAGUGGGGAAUAUUGCACAGUGGGCGGAAGCCUGAUGCAGCAACGCCGCGUGCGGGAUGACGGCCUUCGGGUUGUAAACCGCUUUCGCCUGUGACGAAGCGUGAGUGACGGUAAUGGGUAAAGAAGCACCGGCUAACUACGUG